Molecule: ribosomal RNA, 253 nt
Filed under: uncultured bacterium
Lineage: Bacteria
Description: partial 16S ribosomal RNA
Rfam family: Bacterial small subunit ribosomal RNA
Source: RNAcentral
UACGUAGGGGGCGAGCGUUGUCCGGAUUUAUUGGGCGUAAAGAGCUCGUAGGUGGUUUGUCGCGUUGUUCGUGAAAACUCACAGCUUAACUGUGGGCGUGCGGGCGAUACGGGCAGACUGGAGUACUGCAGGGGAGACUGGAAUUCCUGGUGUAGCAGUGAAAUGCGUAGAUAUCAGGAGGAACACCGAUGGCGAAGGCAGGUCUCUGGGCUGACACUGACGCUCAUGCACGAAAGCGUGGGGAGCAAACAGG